GAUGAACGCUGGCGGCGUGCCUAAUACAUGCAAGUCGAGCGAACAGACGAGGAGCUUGCUCCUCUGACGUUAGCGGCGGACGGGUGAGUAACACGUGGAUAACCUACCUAUAAGACUGGGAUAACUUCGGGAAACCGGAGCUAAUACCGGAUAAUAUAUUGAACCGCAUGGUUCAAUAGUGAAAUACGGUUUUGCUGUCACUUAUAGAUGGAUCCGCGCCGCAUUAGCUAGUUGGUAAGGUAACGGCUUACCAAGGCAACGAUGCGUAGCCGACCUGAGAGGGGGAUCGGACACACUGGAACUGAGACACGGUCCAGACUCCUACGGGAGGCAGCAGUAGGGAAUCUUCCGGAAUGGGCGAAAGCCUGACGGAGCAAAGCCGCGUGAGUGAUGAAGGUCUUCGGAUCGUAAAACUCUGUUAUUAGGGAAGAACAAAUGUGUAAGUAACUAUGCACGUCUUGACGGUACCUAAUCAGAAAGCCACGGCUAACUACGUG
Molecule: ribosomal RNA, 497 nt
Filed under: uncultured bacterium
Lineage: Bacteria
Description: partial 16S ribosomal RNA
Rfam family: Bacterial small subunit ribosomal RNA
Source: RNAcentral